This 468-nucleotide ribosomal RNA is filed under the name uncultured bacterium. RNAcentral describes it as "partial 16S ribosomal RNA". It matches the Rfam family "Bacterial small subunit ribosomal RNA", at positions 28 to 507 of the family's 1533-position model. The record is from RNAcentral.
GACGAACGCUGGCGGCGUGCUUAACACAUGCAAGUCGAACGGAAAGGCCCUGCUUUUGUGGGGUGCUCGAGUGGCGAACGGGUGAGUAACACGUUAGUAACCUGCCCUUGACUUUGGUAUAACUUCAGGUAGCUGGGGCUAAUACCGUAUAGGAUCUCCUGCUGCAUGGUGGGGUUUGGAUCUUUGCGGCGGUUGGGGUUGGACUCGCGGGUUUUCGUCUUGUUGGUGGGGUAGUGGUUUACCAAGGCUGUGACGGGUACCCGGCAUGAGAGGGGGACCGGGAACAAGGGGACUAAGAUACGGACCAGACUCCAAUGGGAGGCAACGGGGGGGAGUAUGGAACAAGGGGAGGAAGUGUGAGGAGAAAACGCCGGGGUCGGAAAGACGGCUUGUGGGUGGAAAACCGCUGUCGCUUGUGACGAAGCGGGAGUGACGGUAAUGGGUAAAGAAGCACCGGCUAACUACGUG